CCUACGGGUGACAGCAGUGAGGAAUAUUGGUCAAUGGGCGAGAGCCUGAACCAGCCAAGUAGCGUGAAGGAUGACUGCCCUACGGGUUGUAAAUUUCUUUUAUAAAGGAAUAAAGUGAGGCACGUGUGCCUUUUUGUAUGUACUUUAUGAACAAGGAUCGGCUAACUCCGUGCCAGCAUCCGCGGUAAUACGGAGGGGCCGAGCGUUAUCCGGAUUUAUUGGGGUUAAAGGGAGCGUAGAUGGGUUGUUAAGUCAGUUGUGAAAGGUUGCGGCUAAACCGUAAAAUUGCAAUUGAUACUGGCAGUCUUGAGUACAGGUGAGGUAGGCGGAAUGCGUGGUGUAGCGGUGAAAUGCUUAGAUAUCACGAAGAACUCCGAUUGCGAAGGCAGCUUACUAGACUGCCACUGACAUUGAUGCUCGAAAGUGUGGGUAUCAAACAGGAUUAGAUACCCUGGUAGUC
RNAcentral lists this ribosomal RNA (460 nucleotides) under uncultured bacterium. RNAcentral's name for it is "partial 16S ribosomal RNA". It matches the Rfam family "Bacterial small subunit ribosomal RNA", at positions 338 to 795 of the family's 1533-position model. The record is from RNAcentral.